This 66-nucleotide transfer RNA is filed under the name Nippostrongylus brasiliensis. It matches the Rfam family "tRNA". Rfam says of the family: Transfer RNA (tRNA) molecules are approximately 80 nucleotides in length. Their secondary structure includes four short double-helical elements and three loops (D, anti-codon, and T loops). The record is from Rfam by way of RNAcentral. Lineage: Eukaryota; Metazoa; Nematoda; Chromadorea; Rhabditida; Heligmosomidae.
GUCUCAGUAGUGUAGCUUUUAACACACGAGCCCCCUGAGACGCUGGUUCGAAUCCCGCCUGAGCCA